This 159-nucleotide unclassified non-coding RNA is filed under the name uncultured Virgaria. RNAcentral's name for it is "sequence contains ITS2". The record is from RNAcentral. Lineage: Eukaryota; Fungi; Ascomycota.
AGUCCAUUAAGCCUAGUUGCUUAGCGUUGGGAGCAUUACCGUAUGGUAACUCCUUAAAGUCAGUGGCAGGGUUACGGUACACUCUAAGCGUAGUAGAUUUCUUUCUCGCUUUUGCUGUGGCCGCGGCCGUCGCCAUAAACCUAUAUAUUUUUUAAUUGG